This is a non-coding RNA of Mycena alexandri, 118 nucleotides long. Lineage: Eukaryota; Fungi; Basidiomycota; Agaricomycetes; Agaricales; Mycenaceae. The record is from the annotation of a GenBank genome assembly.
GGUUGGAUGGCCGAGCGGUCUAAGGCGCCAGACUAAGGAUCAGCUUUACACGUAUGAGCAUCAUUUCCAAUUGGGAAUCUGGUCCUCCGGGGCGUGGGUUCGAAUCCCACUCCAAUCA